RNAcentral lists this transfer RNA (69 nucleotides) under Candidatus Bathyarchaeota archaeon. RNAcentral's name for it is "tRNA-Val". Lineage: Archaea; Thermoproteati; Candidatus Bathyarchaeota. The record is from RNAcentral.
UCGCCAGUUCGUCGGAAGACGAACGACCUCACACGGCGAAGGUCGUGGGUUCGAAUCCCACCCGGCCCA